AUUGAACGCUGGCGGCAGGCUUAACACAUGCAAGUCGAGCGAGCGGCGGACGGGUGAGUAAUGUCUGGGCAACUGCCUGCUGGAGGGGGAUCACUACUGGAAACGGUAGCUAAUACCGCAUACCAUCAGAUGUGCCCAGAUGGGAUUAGCUAGUAGGUGGGGUAAUGGCUCACCUAGGCGACGAUCCCUAGCUGGUCUGAGAGGUUGACCAGCGACACUGGAACGGGGACACGGUCCAGACGCCUACGGGAGGAAGCAGUGGGGAAGAGUGCACAAUGGGCGCAAGCCUGAUGCAGCCAUGCCGCGUGUGAGAAGAAGGCCUUCGGGGUGUAAAGCACUUUCAGCGAGGAGGCGUUACUCGCAGAAGAAGCACCGGCUAACUCCGUGCCAGCAGCCGCGGUAAUUC
This 406-nucleotide ribosomal RNA is filed under the name uncultured bacterium. Its description in RNAcentral is "partial 16S ribosomal RNA". It matches the Rfam family "Bacterial small subunit ribosomal RNA", at positions 29 to 526 of the family's 1533-position model. The record is from RNAcentral.